GAUGAACGCUGGCGGCGUGCCUAAUACAUGCAAGUCGAGCGAACGGACGAGAAGCUUGCUUCUCUGAUGUUAGCGGCGGACGGGUGAGUAACACGUGGAUAACCUACCUAUAAGACUUGGAUAACUUCGGGAAACCGGAGCUAAUACCGGAUAAUAUUUUGAACCGCAUGGUUCAAAAGCGAAAGACGGUCUUGCUGUCACUUAUAGAUGGAUCCGCGCUGCAUUAGCUAGUUGGUAAGGUAACGGCUUACCAAGGCAACGAUGCAUAGCCGACCUGAGAGGGUGAUCGGCCACAAUGGAACUGAGACACGGUCCAGAAUCCUAAGGGAGGCAGCAGUAGGGAAUCUUCCGAAAUGGGCGAAAGCCUGAAGGAGCAAAGCCGCGUGAGUGAUGAAGGUCUUCGGAUCGUAAAACUCUGUUAUUAGGGAAGAACAUAUGUGUAAGUAACUGUGCACAGCUUGACGGUAACUAAUCAGAAAGCCACGGCUAACUACGUG
RNAcentral lists this ribosomal RNA (497 nucleotides) under uncultured bacterium. Its description in RNAcentral is "partial 16S ribosomal RNA". It matches the Rfam family "Bacterial small subunit ribosomal RNA", at positions 28 to 507 of the family's 1533-position model. The record is from RNAcentral.